GAAAGCUUCUAAUCAUUUCUAUUCUCUUUAAUCUGGGGCAUUUGAAACGUAAGUAAGUGACUGGUGCGGCAGCCCUCCCUGUGCAGUUCAAAUGUGUGAGUCACAGCCUUGGAGAGCAGGAAGCCGGCAAGGAAUGUGGUGACGUGGUUUCAGGAUCCAUCUGGCAGAGGUCUGUGAUCAGCCUGUUGGAAAACCCACCUCUGGGCACGGUUGCACGAAUGGAGGUUCUGAGCAGGAGGUGGGCCUGAUCAAAGUUGUUUAAUCUGACUUUUAAGGACGGAAAUACUGGAACUCUGGAACCCUGUUGAGAUGCAAUUGCAGGAAUCUAAAUAAAAGGUUUUUAGGUGCACUGCACAGUUUGGAAACUGAGUUAUACGGUGGCCUAAGCCAUAGACAAGCACUGCCGAGGAUCCAAGGCUAAGCGACCAACGGAAAACUUGAAGAACUGCGCUGCAGCCUAAAGUGUGGGUGCGCUAUUGGACAGAGGAGACUUUCAAUGCGGAUAAUGGAAUGUACCAGCCAGAAGAGUGCCAAGAAGAAAGAAAUUUAAGCACAAGAAAUACUCCCCAUGAAGACAGAGUCACUCAGGGAGAAUAUGAUGUGACAACAGAGGUGGAGAUUAGAGUGUCAAAUCUGCAAACUAAGGAAGACCAAGAAUUGAUUCACAGCACCAGAGGCCAGAGAGAUACAGAGUCACAAUGUGGCACAACCCUCCAAAUCCUUCAGUUCCUGACUUUAGAACAGCGAUGGACUGAAUUUGUCUUCAAUCCAUCUGGUAGAUCAUGGUUAGCCUAAGGAACCAAUGCAGAGAAGUCACCACAAGACUAAAAUCAGUGCUGUUCAAGAGGCUGUCACUGCAGUUGGUUAUAUCCCAAUAUUUAGUAAAUGCCACAAACUACUGUGUAGCAUGAGUGAAAGAAGAAGGUGACGUAGGCACUGACAAAGUUGGUGUUGUCAGGGCAGUUUGCUACUUGGGAGGCCCUCAAGUAUUGGAGUGUGAAUUGCAUUGUGAGCAGGAGGAAAUGAGGGAGCAUGGGACAAGAGAGAAUAUAAAGACAUAUUGUAGGUUGCUUCCCAGGCUCCUAUUACUUGUUGAGUAGAUAUUUGGGAGUUUAAUUGGAAUCUAAAUAAGAUUCUAAAAUCUUUUAAGAGCAACCUCUGAAAAGAAUGGAGGUCUAGAAAAUACUUCUAAGUGCAAAUAAAGGUGUGUUUCAGACAUUAAAGUAAGGAAAAAAAUAUAAGGAAUUCUGGUUAAAACUUAGUGUAUUCCUGGGAGUUUCCCUAGUUCAUUUUUCUUGAUAACCCCAUAAUGGCUCCCUCUAUCAAGAUUUGUCUUUCCUUGAUCUUCCUCUCUUGUCUUUCCCAUAACUCCAGAAGGAUGACCCCAACUAAGAAUCUAAGCAAUAGGGUAUCCCUUAAUUGCCCUUCCCCUGUAGUCAGAUUGAUGACUACCUUAAUUGUCAUCAUAGAACCUCAUCCAGUAACUGAUGGAAGCAGAUACAAAGAUCUAUAGCUAAUAACUGGGUUGAACUCCUGGAGCCCAGUCAUAGAGAGGAAGGAACGAUAAUAAAUAUAGGGGUCAAGAUCAUGAUGGGAAAAUCCACAGAAACUGAUGACCCAAGCUAGUGGGAGCACACUGACUCCAGACUGGCAGCUAGGGAACCUGCAUAAGACCCUCUGAAUGUGAGUGUGAGUUGUGGGGCUUGGGCAGUGAAACCAGUACUUAUCC
This 1729-nucleotide long non-coding RNA is filed under the name Cricetulus griseus (Chinese hamster). Its description in RNAcentral is "lncRNA (ENSCGRG00015036649.1)". Lineage: Eukaryota; Metazoa; Chordata; Mammalia; Rodentia; Cricetidae. The record is from RNAcentral.